RNAcentral lists this ribosomal RNA (253 nucleotides) under uncultured bacterium. Its description in RNAcentral is "partial 16S ribosomal RNA". It matches the Rfam family "Bacterial small subunit ribosomal RNA", at positions 524 to 776 of the family's 1533-position model. The record is from RNAcentral.
UACAGAGGGUGCGAGCGUUGUUCGGAAUUACUGGGCGUAAAGCGCACGUAGGCGGCUUUGUAAGUUAGAGGUGAAAGCCCGGAGCUCAACUCCGGAAUUGCCUUUAAGACUGCAUCGCUCGAAUCAUGGAGAGGUGAGUGGAAUUCCGAGUGUAGAGGUGAAAUUCGUAGAUAUUCGGAAGAACACCAGUGGCGAAGGCGACUCACUGGACAUGUAUUGACGCUGAGGUGCGAAAGCGUGGGGAGCAAACAGG